Molecule: ribosomal RNA, 95 nt
Filed under: Escherichia coli
Lineage: Bacteria; Pseudomonadati; Pseudomonadota; Gammaproteobacteria; Enterobacterales; Enterobacteriaceae
Description: partial 16S ribosomal RNA
Rfam family: Bacterial small subunit ribosomal RNA
Source: RNAcentral
UUUAAUUGAAGAGUUUGAUCAUGGCUCAGAUUGAACGCUGGCGGCAGGCCUAACACAUGCAAGUCGAACGGUAACAGGAAGCAGCUUGCUGCUUC